GCCUAGUUAGCUCAGUUGGUAGAGCAGAGGACUGAAAAUCCUCGUGUCUCUGGUUCGAUUCCGGAACUAGGCACGA
RNAcentral lists this transfer RNA (76 nucleotides) under Blautia hydrogenotrophica DSM 10507. RNAcentral's name for it is "tRNA-Phe". It matches the Rfam family "tRNA". From Rfam's summary of the family: Transfer RNA (tRNA) molecules are approximately 80 nucleotides in length. Their secondary structure includes four short double-helical elements and three loops (D, anti-codon, and T loops). Further hydrogen bonds mediate the characteristic L-shaped molecular structure. tRNAs have two regions of fundamental functional importance: the anti-codon, which is responsible for specific mRNA codon recognition, and the 3' end, to which the tRNAs corresponding amino acid is attached (by aminoacyl-tRNA synthetases). tRNAs cope with the degeneracy of the genetic code in two manners: having more than one tRNA (with a specific anti-codon) for a particular amino acid; and 'wobble' base-pairing, i.e. permitting non-standard base-pairing at the 3rd anti-codon position. Lineage: Bacteria; Bacillati; Bacillota; Clostridia; Lachnospirales; Lachnospiraceae. RNAcentral also lists the same sequence under 2 other names. The record is from RNAcentral.